AGCCAGCAACGUGGAUAAAUUCCAGCUAGCUAGCUAGCCUGCGGCAGGCAGAUCUCCCAUUCAAGCUAGUCCAUGCCAUGCCUUUCCACAGCUUUCUUGAACUUCUCUUGCGCCUCUCCUUAAUUACUCCCCACUCUCUCUGUCUCUCCCUUUCUCUCCGUUGGUAGAGAGAGACAUGAAUGGGGAGGGAGAACAAGAGCAGGAGCAGCAAGAAGAGGGUCAAGAAAGCUGUGGGAAGAAAUGGCAUAUCCAGGACUUUCAAUUGCGACUAAUUUCCAAUUGCUGGGAGGGGUGGGAGAUUUCAUGUUAAUCUCCACGCAAGUGGCUUGGAGGAGGGGAAUCCGAGGAUAGGGGCAGUUGGAUGUAUGAACGUACAUUCCUCAGCUCUCUUUUAAUAGUAGAGAUUGCUAUGUAGACAUAUAUUCUUCUAGUUAUUUUUGCUUUCAGCAUAAAUAAUGAUAAUUUCUAUGUAAACUCGUAAGGAUGGGUUUGUACCUAUUACCUACAUACUCCCUCCGCCCAGUAAAGAGUGUACGUUUGGCAUCAAAAUUUGUCCAUAAAAGAGUGUACUUCUAUCUUUCCAAGCACUUUAAAGUAGAAAAAAAAACUCCUCUCUCAUCACACGGUAAUCAAGACCAAUAGCAAUCUAUACAUGGUCUUCUUAAUUUCUACAUGCACUUAGCUCAUUGAAGGUUCGUUAAUUAAAGAGGAGAGAGAUGGUGGCUUGCACUUUUCCAAUGCAUUUUUUAACUCCAUAAUUUGUCCUAAAAUCUCUAGAUGUAUACUCUUCACCGGACGGAGGGAGUAUAUAUAUAUAUAUAUAUAUAUAUAUAUAUAUAUAUAAUUUUCUAAAAGAUUAAAUGAUUUUUGUUAAAUACAAAAAGUAUGUUCAUACAAACUCAAGUUCAAAGUACUUCUUUCUUUAGCUUUUACUAGUAAAUAUGUACGUGCAAUGCACGAUGAUAUUAGGCAGAUACUAAUUGCACACAAAUAUUAAAUAUGAUAUUAUUUAAGCAUUAGUUAUGUGAUUAGCGUUGACGUCAAUAUUUAGUAUGUAAUUAAUUGUACACUAAACGUGUUGAGCGCUGACCAAUGGAGUAAUUUAGGUCAUUGGAUUGACCUGAUUUAAUGGUGAAGAUCAGUUGGAUAUGUCUCUUUGAGUCUUUUAUAUUGUUAUAUAGAUACAUAGAUAUAUGUUUUCAUAUUAACAAUUUUUUUCUCAAAUACGCACGAGUGUGUGUAAUAUAUUAAUGAAGAAGUGGGUGUGAAGAGUGACACUUGAAGGAGCCGGGCCAUGUGUAUAUAUUGGUUGUGUGCCAUAAAAUAUAUACUAUUGUUUGUGUGCCAUGUGCAAUGAAAAAUGAACGAAUAUGAUGGCUUGGUACAGUAUACACAUGACAAAAAUGAAGAAGAAAAAUCGGCCACCGUUGUCUUGGAUCAUAGACAAGAUUGUCAUGCAUGGGUUUGUUUCACUUCAGAAAUCCAAAAAUUAUACAACCGGCGUAGAAAACAUUGAGAACUGUAUGAGCAAAAAUAAUAAAAGAAUCUUCAUUGCCGUUAUUCUGAAAAGUUCUUAAGAAUCGGACAAUUGCGAUGACUGCUAAAAUUGCUCUAAUGUCACCGAUGCAUCCUGAGGUAUACUUCAUACUCCAUCCGUUCCACAAUGUAGCACAUAUAGGUAUUUUCAGAAAUCAAACUUUGCAAACUUUUACCAAGUUUGUAAAAAUAUAUACAUCUAGAAUACUAUGGAGCUGUUUGGUUUCUAGCCACAAUUUGCCAUACCUCACCUUAGUCAAGUUUGACCAAGUUAGGUGGGUGUUUGGUUCUAGUCACACUUAAGAUAAGAAUUUUUUUUAUGAGAAGUGAACCCCACAUAUUAUAGAUACAAAAAGUGUGGCAAGAUUCUCUUAGUUACGUCAAAGUGUGGUUAACAAUUUAAACAACUUAAGUUAGACAAGUGUGGCAAAACUAAUGUAGCAAUAUAUGGCAAACAUAGUCAUGAUCCAAACAGCCCCUAAAUACAUCAUAAGACAUAUUUUGAUAUUAUAUAAAUUUGGUAUUGUAAAUAUAAAUUAUUCCGUCUAUAAACUUGAUUAAAGUUUAUAAAGUUGGACUUUCAAAAUAUUUAUAUGCAUUACAUUAUAAAAUGGAGAAAAUAUAUUAUAUUUUACUCUGCAGGAUGCUUAGUAAUCUGAUACGGUAGUGGCCACAAUGAGAAAUGCACGGAUACGAUGGCUUGGUACGGUAUACAACACAAGACAAAAAUUGAAGAAACCGUCGUCUGGCGUCCAAGAUAAGAUAUGGGGUAAAUUUCAGUUCAGAAACCCAAAAGAUGGACAAACUGGGGUAUAAAUGAACGAGAACUGUAUGAGCAAAAAUAAUAAUACUAGAAAUUAAUGUUUGCCUGCCGACAUUCUACAAGGCUGGAUCGAUGCAGCAGGGGAUGUUCCACAGCCUGUCAAGGUUAACUUUCGCUUUACCCCACUGACAGCCGGACAGCCAGCCAGCCACACAUGCCCAGGCAGUGACACAAGGCAGCUUUCCCCUCUGCUCACUCCACCUCCUGCUUCAUCUCCUUCCUCAGCCCACUCACCCAUAGCAGCGCAGAGAGAGCCCUGUGCCCCCAUCCAUCUCCAUCACAGGGACAACACUCCGGCGAGGACCAAGGGGAGGAAGGGAGCACUGACGCCUUGGACCCGUAGCUGCCGCCGGCCCACAUUCAUGUGGUGGCAGUGGCCCCUGCUGCUGCGUGUGUCAGGUAGGUAGGCUGCUUGGUCGGUGUCAGUCAGCAUUACUAUCACCCCUCCCGCAGUAGAUCUCUCUCGUGUCAGAGUCACCGCCUGCCCAGGAAUGAUGAAUGGUUUUCACCGCAAGGGCCAUGGCCGUGUCAGCAAGCAAGGGAUCACUCCAGUAAAAAUUCUCUCUGGGAGCGGGUAGGUUUCUAACCCGGCUGCAAAUGACACAAGGAGUCAAGGAACAAUGUCAGGUUGGUUUAGCUCUGGGCUAUUUUGUACUUGCCGUCGGCAUCUUGUUAAGAGCAUUUCCAACAUUCGCACAAAAGUUUCGCAUGCUAAAAUAGUUUUAGCAUGACAUGAUAGCA
Triticum urartu is the source of this 3100-nucleotide non-coding RNA. The record is from RefSeq and is a predicted model, not a curated record. NCBI's taxonomy places the organism in Eukaryota, Viridiplantae, Streptophyta, Magnoliopsida, Poales, Poaceae.